UACGUAGGGUGCAAGCGUUGUCCGGAAUCAUUGGGCGUAAAGAGCGUGUAGGCGGCCCGGUAAGUCCGCUGUGAAAGUCCAGGGCUCAACCCUGGGAUGCCCGGUGGAUACUGUCGGGCUCGAGUCCGGAAGAGGAGUGUGGAAUUCCGUGGUGUAGCGGUGAAAUGCGCAGAUAUCAGGAGGAACACCAAUUGCGAAGGCAGCGUCGCUGGGACGUUACUGACGCUGAGACGCGAAAGCGUGGGGAGCAACAGG
RNAcentral lists this ribosomal RNA (255 nucleotides) under uncultured bacterium. RNAcentral describes it as "partial 16S ribosomal RNA". It matches the Rfam family "Bacterial small subunit ribosomal RNA", at positions 524 to 775 of the family's 1533-position model. The record is from RNAcentral.